This 329-nucleotide unclassified non-coding RNA is filed under the name soil metagenome. Its description in RNAcentral is "partial contains 5.8S ribosomal RNA, internal transcribed spacer 2, and large subunit ribosomal RNA". The stretch from base 1 to 120 matches the Rfam family "5.8S ribosomal RNA", at positions 35 to 154 of the family's 154-position model. The record is from RNAcentral.
GAUGAAGAACGUAGCGAAAUGCGAUAAGUAAUGUGAAUUGCAGAAUCCAGUGAAUCAUCGAAUCUUUGAACGCACAUUGCGCCCCUUGGUAUUCCGAGGGGCAUGCCUGUUCGAGCGUCAUUAUAACCCCUCAAGCUCAGCUUGGUGUUGGGGCCUGCUGCACUGGCAGCCCUUAAAAUCAGUGGCGGCGCCAUCUGGCUCUAAGCGUAGUAAUUCUUCUCGCUAUGGAGUCCUGGUGGAUGCUUGCCAUCAACCCCCAAUUUUUCUAUGGUUGACCUCGGAUCAGGUAGGGAUACCCGCUGAACUUAAGCAUAUCAAUAAGCGGAGGA